Molecule: long non-coding RNA, 2241 nt
Organism: Lutra lutra (Eurasian river otter)
Lineage: Eukaryota; Metazoa; Chordata; Mammalia; Carnivora; Mustelidae
Exons: 2
Source: RefSeq, a predicted model, not a curated record
ACUCUUAUGUCCAGGGCAUAGCUGUGAAGAGAACGGGAGUUAUUUUCAAGGUCUCAAGAAAGGGAAAAGGCGCACUACUUCGCAAGGCUACUAAGAUCAAAAGAGUCACUCUUCCCUCUGAGGGCGGAGAACGCGGAGGGAUUCUUCAAAGACCCACCUCGUUUCCGGUGUCGGCGGGAGGGGCGGGGAGAGAAGUCUUUCAGCCCAAGGAAGGUCUUUAUUGUGAUGUCCGAGGCCGCCUGGUUAUCGCGCGAGAUGCUUGUGGAGAGCGAGCGUCGAGCUGAUUGGUUAGUCAUGAUGCAGUUCCGUGAAGACAUUUUUUGUUAAACUGGUAGCCGUCACUCUCCCAAUUCUGUAACUGCCCGGAGUAUCGUAACCACUUCCCAGGACGUCCGCAUAAUAGCGCUAAUGGGGGAGAAGCUUGAGAACCCAAGCCCACUCGCGGAAGUUCACGUUUGGAAGCAGCAGUUCAGGUCAAGGCCUGCAACUUGCUCUCCAGUGGGGAGCUGUGAAGAGUGCCAAGGAAAGGUCUCCAUCAUUCUCCCGUGUCCUUCACAGUCGGGCCCUGUGGUGUUUCAGUCGGCCAUGGAAAUAUCUGUGGGAGGGCUGCGAAGUCAAAAAAUUGGGGAAACACUGUCUUUGAUAACUACAAACCAUUCGUUGCUUUGAUUUAGUCGAGGUAGUCCAACGAUUUUUUUAGGCCAAACUUAGAACCAGUGGGACUAGGUGUGUAGCCCAGAGUCACACCGUUGCCAGUGGAGGCAGUAUGGGGCAGGCCUUGGAAGACAAGAUUUUUGAGGCAAACUCAAGAACCCUGGCUCUUCUAUUUAGUAGCUGAGGCGUUUUGGUUAAGCAAUUUAUCCUUGCUGAGCCAGUUUCCUCAUCUGUAAAAUGAGGCUAAUGAGUAUCCUCAUCCUUAGACUGAAGCUCAUAGAUGGAAAGCACUGAGCGAAGUGCAGGUAAGCGCUCAAUUAAUGGUUGCCUAUUAUUACCAUUAUUAGAACUCAGGUCUUCUGAUCGUGGACUCCCCAUUCCACAUCUCCCUUACAUCAUCCUGCUUCCUCAGAGGCCGCCUAUUCUUGAUGAGGAUGAAACCAGCAACAACUGGUACAUGCAAAAGCACACUGCUUACUGGGACAAGAACGGUCUCUCUACUGCCUUGGAGAAUCACAAAUGUCAGGAUAUAACAGUUUUCUGAUCUUUAUCUCUGAACCAUUACACAAGUCUUCCAUGGUGUGACUAAGGACCCACGGGGCACGUCCUCCUUUUCCUGUAUCAGGGGACCUGCCAGUGCCUCCUUAUGGACGACCAUGCGGAAGGUUGAGAAUUAAAGAAAGUAACAUUGUCCCAGUUUUGACAUCUCAGAGCCACAGAUGAUUGACUCCAGUGGCAGCUUGUCCCAUCUGUUCCAUCAUGGAGACCCAGAUCAAGCACUUGAAAGGUUCUCCUGGCUGAAAAUGGAGAAGCAGAUCAUUCCUGUAAGAAAAUGUUUUACACCACACACAGAAGUCAAAGCUCUUGGAAAGGAGACUUUUAUUUUUUUCUCUCUAUGCUGUGCAAGGUCCUCAUGUUCCCCAGCUUUAUUUCCUCCAAGGAGAAAAAAGAUAGCAGUUCUCCAGGUCUCGGGGCUAAGCUGCUUCCAUGUGGACCUAGCAAAGGUGGAACAGGACUGGUGACGGAUCCCAGAUCUACCAGCUGAGUGCAUCCACUGCUGCUGAAGGGCAGGCAAGUGACUGGAAGGCAAGUAGUGGACUCAGCCUCAGGGACCAAGAAUUUAAAGACUCCAAGGUGAUCCAAAUGAAAAGGUAAACAUGCUGGACAGUUAGCCUCAGAAGCCACAUCUGGUGUUUUGACCACUCAGAAUCAGCAGUGUGUAAAAGGGCCAUAGCCUGACAGUCCUAGUACCAGGUGUCCUUACUAUUCUCUUUGGCCUUGAGCUUUAGCAGGAAGGGCAGAGUGUUAACCAACCCUGUGAGCAGUUUUCAGCCAGGAUCACAGUAUCAAGGAAGUGUGCCAGGGCAAAGGACUAAGACACAUGGCGGCAGGGGGGUCCCUAGAUGCAUAACCCUUCCUGGGCCCUCUCCAGGACUUUGUGAUCCUGAAGCUGAUUCCUUAUCAAAACCAUGUGAGUUCUUAGGGGGCACCUGGGUGGCUCAGUCAGUUAAAUGGCUGGCUCUUAACCUCAGGGUCCUGAGUUCAAGCCCGGCAUUGAGCCCCAUUCUGGAGCAUGGAACCUACUUU